UUUUUGAACUGUAUCUCCUUUUAACAAAAUAAAACUCUCCCCCCACUCUCUCACGGCCUACAUUUUCUAUCUAGAUCUGGCACUUCAUCGAUAUACUUUAUCAACCCUCUCUUCUUUAAUUUACCUUUUCAAUCCUAAUUAGCUUCUUGUAACUACAUCGUCAUAAUUCGUUCGACCGGAUGCUUUGAUUUGAGGGCUUUGGAGCUUGGAGUUCAGAGUACCGGGGCUUUACUUCGAGUUUUGGAGCUUUCAAUGGGUUCAAACUCAAUGCCUAACACCAAGAAUAGAAGUCAAGUUUGCCGUAGUAUACCAUUUUGUGGUAUCAAGUAAUUUUUUUUUUCUGUUUUUUGUAUUACAUGCCAUUCUAAAGAUAUUUUCCAGAGUGCAAACUUGACAGAGUCUCUUGUAGUGAUAGAAAAAGAGAAAUCAGAGUGUAGUAGCGGACGCAGCAUGGACUGGAUCAAUGAAAUCAAAGAGUUAAAAGAAAUGGACACUCGUUUUCUACUCGUCAGAAUGUGUGACUGGUUGAGCUUCCUGGACUGAUAGUUCAUCUGCAGCCUCAGUAUUAAGUUCUUCCACAACAUCAGCAAGAUUUUCUGCUAGAUUUCCGGUUGCUCUAUCUUUUCCAAAGAUAGUACAGAGUUCUGUGAACCAUGGCAUAGCUGUAGUCUUCCAUUUAGAUGCUCAUGGGUGAACCUGCGAUAAAAAUUAGAUACUAAGAUAAAAUAGCAAAGUUAAAUUAUCUAGGAAUCCAUUUUCUGGGCAGCUGACUAUUUAAACCAAUGAGAUGAGUUAUCCGCUAAAAGUUCUGAUCACCCUUUUAAUAAGGUGCAGGCCAUUAAACUA
Molecule: long non-coding RNA, 846 nt
Organism: Daucus carota subsp. sativus
Lineage: Eukaryota; Viridiplantae; Streptophyta; Magnoliopsida; Apiales; Apiaceae
Exons: 3
Source: RefSeq, a predicted model, not a curated record